Molecule: long non-coding RNA, 964 nt
Organism: Quercus robur (English oak)
Lineage: Eukaryota; Viridiplantae; Streptophyta; Magnoliopsida; Fagales; Fagaceae
Exons: 3
Source: RefSeq, a predicted model, not a curated record
CUGUACGUCUCUCUCUCUCUCUCUCUUAAAAUGUGUCAUGUCAUUUUUCACUUUUCAUAUCUAUAUAUAUGUACUUACCCAGAAUCGAAUUCAAAGCGUGCAACAAUGACCAUGAGUCACACUCUCUCCUAUAUGCAGAGGAAAAGAAAAAAGAUUUUUGUUUAUGGGAUUAGUGAGCUUUAUGUGCAUGAUUGGAAGGAAGGAAAGCAAGGUGAUUUCAUUUCUUUGCAUUUGCACCUGCACCUCUCUCUGUAUAGUCUAAUUUACAAUAGUGUUUUCUCGAGUCUUAAUGGUUCGUUUGGAUCGAGUGAGCAAAGUAAAUUUUGCUUAAAAUUAGUAUAUUUUUAGCAAACUCUACUCACUUUCUUCCAUUUUUCUUAUUUCUCGCUUAAUCCAAACGGGUCUUAAGAGGGUAGAGCACUACCCUAGAUGGACUUCAGAGGUAGGUGCAGUUGUAAGUGCAGACAAAUGGGUCAUCUUUCCACUUUUAACGGUGUUUUUCCUAUGUCUCAAGCUCUGUGAUCAGUGAUCAUUACCCUAGAUCAGCUUAGAGAUAGGUUUGUUUUCUAAUCAAGUGCGGAUGAAAGACAUCUCAACUUUUAGCUGAAAUCCAAGUCGACACCGACUUUUCUUUAAUGGAACUAUCAGCUUUCUUCUCCAAAAAGACAAUAUGAAGCGUCACGAUCAGGCACAUAAAAAAUUGGAUGUGUUUUCCUAGCAAGCUCACCAAAAAAUGCCACGGAUUGGGCCUAUAUAUUAUUAAACUAUUAAUUUCAUGCCAUCAAAUUAUAAAGAGAUACAUUAUUUCUGCACCUCUUCACUCAUAAUAAAAAUCCUAAACGAUAAUUUGUAUUCCCUAUUAUUAAAAUCAUUAAAAUUAUAUGGGUUUUAUUUUGAUUCUUAAGAGGAUUUCAAAGUGACUCUUUCUUAAUCAAGAAUUCAAAAAAGAAAAAAAUUAUGUCUU